Misgurnus anguillicaudatus (oriental weatherfish) is the source of this 216-nucleotide non-coding RNA. The record is from RefSeq and is a predicted model, not a curated record. NCBI's taxonomy places the organism in Eukaryota, Metazoa, Chordata, Actinopteri, Cypriniformes, Cobitidae.
AUUGCCAGCAUUUAAAUUCAGAGGAGGAUGACAGUGGGAGGAGGAGGGACAUAUACACAUUUUUUUCUUUCUUUCAGAUUUAAUGCCAGCAUUUUAAUUCAGAGAAGGAUGACAGUGGGAGGACGAGGGACAUAUACACAUUUUUUCUUUCUUUCAGAUUUAUAGCCAGCAUUUUAAUUCAGAGGAGGAUGACAGUGGGAGGAGGAGGGACAUAUA